GCUUAUUUACUCUUAAGCCCAUUCAUCUAAAUACCCGGUUUUCAUGUAGGAUCUUACCAAUUUGAUUGGAGGAGAAAAAAUAACAUAAGAAUAGGUGCACAGUUAGAGUGUUAAUCACAUGAAUAACCUUGACAUCCACAGAAAUUACAACUUUUCAUUGCAUACAGAGAGUAUAAUCAGAUUAUAUAACCAGAAGAUGAUGUCUUUGGAUAUAAUCAUACCUAUGCUUGAUGCC
This 235-nucleotide long non-coding RNA is filed under the name Elaeis guineensis (African oil palm). RNAcentral describes it as "long non-coding RNA (EGUI_LNC010154)". Lineage: Eukaryota; Viridiplantae; Streptophyta; Magnoliopsida; Arecales; Arecaceae. The record is from RNAcentral.